RNAcentral lists this ribosomal RNA (531 nucleotides) under Davidina diluta. RNAcentral's name for it is "partial 16S rRNA". RNAcentral also lists the same sequence under 1 other name. Lineage: Eukaryota; Metazoa; Arthropoda; Insecta; Lepidoptera; Nymphalidae. The record is from RNAcentral.
CUCAGAUCAUGUAAGAUUUUAAUGAUCGAACAGAUCAAAAUUUUAAACUUUUGCAUUUAAAUUUUAUCUUAAUCCAACAUCGAGGUCGCAAACUUUUUUUUUUAUUUGAACUAAAAAAAAAUAUUACGCUGUUAUCCCUAAGGUAAUUUUUUCUUAUAAUCAUUAUUAAUGGAUCAUUUAAUCAUUUAUUUAUGUUUAAUUUUUAAAAAAAGUUUAUCAUAUUUUUCUAUCACCCCAAUAAAAUAAAUAAUUUUAUUUUAAUAAAAAAUUUAAUAUAAUUUUAAAAUAAAAAUAAAUAUAAAACUCUAUAGGGUCUUCUCGUCUUUUAAAAUUAUUUUAGCUUUUUAACUAAAAAAUAAAUUUCUAAAAAUAAAUAAGAGACAGUCUAUAUUUCAUCAAAUCUUUCAUACAAGUUUCCAAUUAAAAAACUAUUGAUUAUGCUACCUUUGUACAGUCAUUAUACUGCAGCCCUUUAAUAAUUAUCAGUGGGCAGAUUAGACUUUAAAUUAUAUUCAAAAAGACAUGUUUUUG